RNAcentral lists this long non-coding RNA (1392 nucleotides) under Zonotrichia albicollis (white-throated sparrow). Its description in RNAcentral is "lncRNA (ENSZALG00000003221.1)". The record is from RNAcentral. Lineage: Eukaryota; Metazoa; Chordata; Aves; Passeriformes; Passerellidae.
CAGAGCGGCACAAAACGCGCUUUGGUGCCUGACGGGGAGAAAGCGAUUGUGUUCAGAGACACGGAUCGGCAAAUCCUCCGGAGCUGCGCAGGUGGAGGUGCCGUGAGGUGGCGGAACUGUGGGGAGAGGUGUUCUGGGGGGUAAAGGAUGGCGCGGAGCUGCCCGACCCGCGCUCGAUGCCUCCCAAGAAGUGCGGAUGAAAUGGCAGCGGUUUCAAUCUGCAGCUUGUGCGGCCCGGCCCGGCUGCGGGAGGGGCACGGCGAGCUGGCUGAGGCGGCCACAGCUGCCGCCGCCGCCUUUGGACGCCGGGGAAAGGAUCUGCGGGCGCCACGGGCCUCGGCACGCUGCCUUGGCCCAUACUGAAAAGGUCCUGAUAUUUCCUGACAGGAGGGAAGGGUGUGCUCUCCGAAGGUUGCUAAUUGUGUGCUAAGUGCUGCUGGAGUGGUUCUGGAGUCAACGCUUCGAGCCGUUCAGUGGCUCAUUAAUUCUCGAGAUGGAGUUUUUGUUCAAGGAGGGUUUUUGAGGGGGAUCCGUCCCGAGCAGGGCGCUGAGCUGGCAGCAGUGUCCCAGGAAAGCCGAAGGGCUGCGGCUGUGGCAGCGCCCGCUCCCCGCAGUGGGCCCAGACUCUGAGUUGUUGAGUGGUCUGGAAGUGCAAGAUGCACUAAUGGCAAGAAAAGCACAGAUUUUGUUUGGGAACAUACUGCUAAGCAUGAGAGUUUGAGAAGGAUAUUCCAGAUGGAGAAGCACAACUUGCCAGUGGACUGCUGAGGCAACUCUAGAGAUUUGCAUUGGAGAGAAGAGGGAGUUUUCUGCAAGAAGUGGAAAAGUAUGUCUGAAGAACUGAGGAUGGACAUGGACAACACGUCUUGGAGUUGCCUGUACAAGAUGCUGUUUCCAGACUCUGUGCCUGGCUGUCCUCAGGGCCCUGUUGCCCAUUGCAGUGAGCAGAAGGGAGCUGUGGCUGGGAGCUGCUCUGACCAGGCAGUGCCACUGUGUCCCUACAGCUGCAUGGCAGAGCGUGCAUCACGCUUGCUCACAGCUGGGAGGAGGACAAGCUUCACCAGCAGGCUGAGCAGGAGUGAGGAGAAGGGAAGUUUUGUGCUCUUCACAUUGCAGGCAAAACCUCUUUGCAUAAACUCUGCUAACAGAAUCUGGCUUGGAAAACCUGAAAUGUGAGGGUUUGUUUAGAGAAGUGAAAUUCAUCAGGCUGCUCCUGCUCAUGCUCCCAUAAAGCCUUUCUGUUACACGAGUGAAGAGGCAGAAGAAUGCUGUUUCCAGUUUGUUUAACAUUCAGUGCUACACAGCUGUAGGUAAGGUGAUAACAUGGAAAGUACAUGCCCAAAUUUUAAAGUCUUUACAGGGUCUAGGAAGAAUACUGUAAGAAAAUGUUGG